CAAACCGAGGCAAAAUCACAACCUGAUUCAAAAUGUCCGUUGACUCGUGUGUCGCUACAUUGGAGAGCAGAAGAAGAUCCAUGGAAACGGCAUGCAAUAUCGUCUCCCAGCUGUUGUUAUUUAUUAACAGUACGGGGCAGGGAAUAUGUUAAUAAUGUAACAGGCCAGGAGUUAUAUGAAGUUUCUGCUGAAGCAUCAACACAAAUUACUGAUAAGAAUCCUGAGAGAUCCAAUAGUGAAAAUGAUACUAAUGAAACGACUCUCCUUCAGGAACUUGCUGCUGCAAAGGAAAAAAGUCGAACAUUGAAAAAUGCUCGUUUGUGUAAAGCUUGCGCGGAACGAGAAGUCACAGUUGUAUUCCUACCUUGUGGACAUGCAGCAACCUGCGAUUACUGUUCACAAGCUUUCUCACAAUGCAUAAUUUGCCAAGGAGAAAUUAAAGCCACUAGCUGUAUCUUUUUGACGUAAUGCAUGCACAUAUGUAUAUAUAAUUAUGUACAUAUAUAAAUUAGCUUAUCCAUAUUUCUCAUAUAAAUAUACUUUACAAUUUUUAAAAAUUGACGUACACACAUUAAAAUUUGUGAUACCAUGUAUCGUUAAAUUAAGUGUAUAUAUCAUGAAAUGAUAAAAUAUUUUAUUUCUAGUACUAUUUCUACAGUAAUUAAUAAAUAGAAACAUAAUAUUAAACUGAUGAAAUACAUUUUUUCUUUAUAUUUUUGGCUUUUUUUGUAUUUUAAGUGUAUUUUACUUAAUUAAACAUUAAUAAUAAUUAUGUAUCUUAUUUUAUCCGAAUAAAGUUAACUUUUUCCGCAUCUAA
Long non-coding RNA from Bombus terrestris (buff-tailed bumblebee), 817 nucleotides. RefSeq annotates it as baculoviral IAP repeat-containing protein 8. The record is from RefSeq and is a predicted model, not a curated record. The annotation marks the transcript as partial. The transcript has 3 exons. Lineage: Eukaryota; Metazoa; Arthropoda; Insecta; Hymenoptera; Apidae.